Molecule: long non-coding RNA, 678 nt
Organism: Xenia sp. Carnegie-2017
Lineage: Eukaryota; Metazoa; Cnidaria; Anthozoa; Malacalcyonacea; Xeniidae
Exons: 2
Source: RefSeq, a predicted model, not a curated record
CUGUGAGUGAGGGGUGAACUUUUAGAACGCAGGCGAUAGUCUUCACAAGAAGCACGGUUUACAUGUCUGGCAGUAUCUUUCAAGUGGUUGUCUUGCAGGACUGUAAAAGCCGCUCAUUCCAUGCUGAGGCCUAAGCCACUAAAGACUACAAGCAUCAAUACAAUUCUAUUAUACUUCUUAAUACAUUUCUUAUACAUGGUAACACAAAGAACGCCGAAAUUGCUGUCGUUAUGCCCGAUGUGUCAUUUCUUUUCGGAAACUUGAACUACAAGCAACUGUCGCCUUGUCAUUAUAUCUGUCUAUUACGCGAAAUAAAUUCACAAUUUAAAAUCAUUUUUUGUAUUAGAAAUUGCGAAUGUAUAGUAAUGUGGCUCAAAACUAUAUACAAUGUGGCAUUUCAUAUUCUCGAAAUGGCAGUGGUAUUACGGUAUAUUAGUGUAUAUUACGGUAUCAAUGUUAAGCUGUUAAUUCGUUUUCCAGACGAACUGAGGUUUUCGUAGUUUUAAUUAUCGCAGUAAAGAGGGGGCGAAAGCCUCACGCUGCAAAUAAAUUUUAUCCGGUCUGCUAUAGCAACUUUUGCUUUAACUUUAGUUUCGGCGACACUAAAGAUUAAUGUUCAAAAUAGAAUUUAAAAAAAUGAAGACAAAACUCAAUAUAAGUACCAUUUCGUGAACUAUA